Molecule: long non-coding RNA, 1235 nt
Organism: Amphiprion ocellaris (clown anemonefish)
Lineage: Eukaryota; Metazoa; Chordata; Actinopteri; Pomacentridae
Exons: 2
Source: RefSeq, a predicted model, not a curated record
UACACGUCUGUCACACACUCAUCAAAAUUGCAUAAUGAAUAAAAUAAAACACAAGAAAUAUUAAGGGCAGCCAAUUUCAUCUUCGUAGGACCCAUGUAGCGAGGACCCGAUGCCAGGUCCAGUGGACAGACUUCAGACGUCUCUGUGUGUCCGGUCCUGUCUCUGGUUGUCAGGUUACAGACGCUGCUGCACCCGCACGUUUAAAAAUGUCUACACCUGAAACUCCACCACGUCUAAAGAAACAAAAACGUUUGCAAAUGUACAGACUGGGUUGGAAGAGUGGAACCCCUGGCAAUGGGUACAAGGCAAACUGUGUUUUCUGUUGCUCAUGGACUGUCUGAAGUAAGGCAGCAUCAGGAGACAAACAUGGAGGAAAUAUGAGAACAGAGAGAACCCAACCAGCAGGUCACAGUUUAUCAUCAUCUAAUCAUCUCCUGAAGUCGAUAUGGUCCCUCUCUAUCUCCCCACACAUCCACCAACCACUGGAACACAUCUCCAAAGUUCUGCUGGGCCAGCUCAGCUUCCCCUCAGAAGAAGUGCAACCACCUGCCAGAUGAAGGAGCCUUUUGAGAGGCAGCUGGCAUCGUGAUUGGACUGUACUUUGGUCUGUUCCAAUCCAGCUUCAGCUCCAGAGACGGCAGGCAGGGACGAGUCAUCGGAGGCCGGGUGGACGAAGGCACGAAGCUGAGUACAAUCCAGAAAACAACAGAGGAGUGCAGCGGUCCAGGGCCAGAACAAACAGAGUAGCAUUGUAUGUCUCUUAGAAAACAUCAUAGUAUAGCCUUUGGUAAGAAAAAACACCAUCAUAUACAUCGUAUAUUGUACAAAUAACAAGUCAAAGGAAAGAGACAUACAUUGUAGAAUUGUAGUAAUUGUGGGCUGACUGAUUUGCUUCAGAUGUGUGGCUGUGUUUUAUGGUCCUUGUGUCCCACCCCCCCACCUCUCUAUCUCUACCCCUCUAUCUGUAUCCCUCUAUCUCUGCCUCUACCCCUCUAUCUCUACCUCUCUACCUCUUCUGUCCCUCUCAACCCGCCCGGCCAGCAGGCAGAUGGGUCCCCCCACAUUAGAGCCGGGUUCUGCUCGAGGUUUUUUUUCCCUGUUAAAAGGGUGUUUUCCUUGCCACUGUCGCCUUUUGGCUUGCUCUGGGGGUCAGGCAUAUGGGUUCUGUAAAGCGUCUCGAGACAAUUUGACUGUAAUUGGCGCUAUAUAAAUAAAAUUGAAUUGAAAAAAUUGAA